This 1183-nucleotide ribosomal RNA is filed under the name Spirochaetales bacterium. Its description in RNAcentral is "bacterial SSU rRNA". It matches the Rfam family "Bacterial small subunit ribosomal RNA", at positions 1 to 1153 of the family's 1533-position model. The record is from RNAcentral. Lineage: Bacteria; Pseudomonadati; Spirochaetota; Spirochaetia; Spirochaetales.
GGGUCUUCGGACCCUUGGUAUAUAUCAUGGAGAGUUUGAUCCUGGCUCAGAACGAACGCUGGCGGCGUGUCUUAAGCAUGCAAGUUGAGCGGCAAGGGGUAGCAAUACCCCCUAGAGCGGCGGACUGGUGAGUAACGCGUGGGUGAUCUGCCCUUGGGAUGGGGAUAGCCUCUAGAAAUAGAGGGUAAUACCGAAUACGUUCGCUAAACCACGGUUUAGCGAGGAAAAGCGCUUCGGCGCUGCCCGAGGAUGAGCCCGCGUCCCAUUAGCUAGUUGGUGAGGUAAGAGCCCACCAAGGCGAUGAUGGGUAGGCGGCCUGAGAGGGUGUACGCCCACACUGGGACUGAGAUACGGCCCAGACUCCUACGGGAGGCAGCAGCUAAGAAUAUUCCGCAAUGGACGAAAGUCUGACGGAGCGACGCCGCGUGGAUGAUGAAGGCCGAAAGGUUGUAAAGUCCUUUUGCUGGGGAAGAAUAACCAUGGGAGGGAAUGCCCGUGGGAUGACAUGAACCGGCGAAUAAGCCCCGGCUAACUACGUGCCAGCAGCCGCGGUAACACGUAGGGGGCGAGCGUUGUUCGGAAUUACUGGGCGUAAAGGGCAUGUAGGCGGCUCUGUAAGCCCGGCGUGAAAGUCACCGGCUCAACCGGUGGAUUGCGUCGGGAACUGCGGGGCUUGAAUCAUGGAGAGGGAGCUAGAAUUCCAGGUGUAGGGGUGAAAUCUGUAGAGAUCUGGAAGAAUACCAGUGGCGAAGGCGAGCUCCUGGCCAAUGAUUGACGCUGAGGUGCGAAAGUGUGGGGAUCAAACAGGAUUAGAUACCCUGGUAGUCCACACUGUAAACGAUGUGCACUAGGUGCUGGGGCGGAUGCUUCAGUGCCGGAGCUAACGCGGUAAGUGCACCGCCUGGGGAGUAUGCUCGCAAGGGUGAAACUCAAAGGAAUUGACGGGGGCCCGCACAAGCGGUGGAGCAUGUGGUUUAAUUCGAUGGUACGCGAGGAACCUUACCUGGGUUUGACAUACGGAGGAAUGCGGCAGCGAUGUCGCAGCGGAGCAUGACGCCUCCGGACAGGUGCUCCAUGCCUGUCGUCAGCUCGUGCCGUGAGGUGUUGGGUUAAGGCCCGCAACGAGCGCAACCCCUACUGCCAGUUACCAACACGUUAAGGUGGGGACUCUGGCGGAACUGCC